Molecule: microRNA precursor, 59 nt
Filed under: Sarcophilus harrisii (Tasmanian devil)
Lineage: Eukaryota; Metazoa; Chordata; Mammalia; Dasyuromorphia; Dasyuridae
Description: mir-7386 microRNA precursor family
Rfam family: mir-7386 microRNA precursor family
Source: Rfam by way of RNAcentral
CUGUGGACCACAUUCUUCAAUUUGUAGAUUAUGAACAAAGAAGAAUUUGGUCCAUAGAG